GCACUCGUAGCUCAGUCGGUAGAGCAAGUGACUCUUAAUCACUGGGUCCACGGUUCGAGUCCGUGCGGGUGUACCA
This 76-nucleotide transfer RNA is filed under the name Lentisphaerota bacterium. RNAcentral's name for it is "Lentisphaerae bacterium tRNA-Lys". It matches the Rfam family "tRNA". From Rfam's summary of the family: Transfer RNA (tRNA) molecules are approximately 80 nucleotides in length. RNAcentral also lists the same sequence under 1 other name. The record is from RNAcentral. Lineage: Bacteria; Pseudomonadati; Lentisphaerota.